RNAcentral lists this ribosomal RNA (373 nucleotides) under Pedioplanis serodioi. Its description in RNAcentral is "partial large subunit ribosomal RNA". It matches the Rfam family "Bacterial large subunit ribosomal RNA", at positions 2013 to 2608 of the family's 2925-position model. Lineage: Eukaryota; Metazoa; Chordata; Lepidosauria; Squamata; Lacertidae. The record is from RNAcentral.
UAACUGUCUCUUACGUAUAACCAAUAAAACUGAUCUCUCAGUCAAAAAGCUGAGAUAAAAACAUAAGACGAGAAGACCCUGUGGAGCUUCAAACCAACCCAAGCCAAAUGGCUCGGUUUUUAGUUGGGGCGACUUCGGAGUACAAAAAAACCUCCGACAAACUAUAUAAAGACCUACACGUCAACAUAUAUCCGACCCGGUAUAAACAUCCGAUCAAUGAACCAAGUUACCCCAGGGAUAACAGCGCCAUCCCCUUCUAGAGUCCUUAUCGACAAGGGGGUUUACGACCUCGAUGUUGGAUCAGGACACCCAAAUAGUGCAGCCGCUAUUAAAGGUUCGUUUGUUCAACGAUUAAUAGUCCUACGUGAUCUGA